AUUUGAAAUCUGGUCCCCAGGGCCCGAGUUGUAAUUUGUAGAGGAUGCUUUUGCCGAGGCGCCUUCCGAGUUCCCUGGAACGGGACGCCACAGAGGGUGAGAGCCCCGUCUGGUCGGAUGCCAAGCCUAUGUAAAGCUCCUUCGACGAGUCGAGUAGUUUGGGAAUGCUGCUCAAAAUGGGAGGUAUAUGUCUUCUAAAGCUAAAUAUUGGCCAGAGACCGAUAGCGCACAAGUAGAGUGAUCGAAAGAUGAAAAGCACUUUGAAAAGAGGGUUAAAAAGUACGUGAAAUUGUUGAAAGGGAAGCGCCUAUGACCAGACUUGGGCCCGGUGAAUCAUCCAGCGUUCUCGCUGGUGCACUUUGCCGGGCACAGGCCAGCAUCAGUUUGGCGCGGGGGAUAAAGGCUUCGGGAAUGUGGCUCCCUCGGGAGUGUUAUAGCCCGUUGUGUAAUACCCUGCGCCGGACUGAGGUACGCGCU
Molecule: ribosomal RNA, 477 nt
Filed under: Trichoderma atroviride
Lineage: Eukaryota; Fungi; Ascomycota; Sordariomycetes; Hypocreales; Hypocreaceae
Description: partial large subunit ribosomal RNA
Rfam family: Eukaryotic large subunit ribosomal RNA
Source: RNAcentral